RNAcentral lists this ribosomal RNA (504 nucleotides) under uncultured bacterium. RNAcentral describes it as "partial 16S ribosomal RNA". It matches the Rfam family "Bacterial small subunit ribosomal RNA", at positions 30 to 523 of the family's 1533-position model. The record is from RNAcentral.
AUUGAACGCUGGCGGCAGGCCUAACACAUGCAAGUCGAACGGUAGCACAGAGAGCUUGCUCUCGGGUGACGAGUGGCGGACGGGUGAGUAAUGUCUGGGAAACUGCCCGAUGGAGGGGGAUAACUACUGGAAACGGUAGCUAAUACCGCAUAACGUCGCAAGACCAAAGUGGGGGACCUUCGGGCCUCACACCAUCGGAUGUGCCCAGAUGGGAUUAGCUAGUAGGUGGGGUAAUGGCUCACCUAGGCGACGAUCCCUAGCUGGUCUGAGAGGAUGACCAGCCACACUGGAACUGAGACACGGUCCAGAAUCCUACGGGAGGCAGCAGAGGGGAAUAUUGCACAAUGGGCGCAAGCCUGAUGCAGCCAUGCCGCGUGUAUGAAGAAGGCCUUCGGGUUGUAAAGUACUUUCAGCGGGGAGGAAGGCGGUGAAGUUAAUAGCUUCACCGAUUGACGUUACCCGCAGAAGAAGCACCGGCUAACUCCGUGCCAGCCGCCGCAGUAA